This 413-nucleotide ribosomal RNA is filed under the name uncultured Glomeromycotina. Its description in RNAcentral is "SSU rRNA". It matches the Rfam family "Eukaryotic small subunit ribosomal RNA", at positions 569 to 988 of the family's 1831-position model. Lineage: Eukaryota; Fungi; Glomeromycota. The record is from RNAcentral.
AGCAGCCGCGGUAAUUCCAGCUCCAAUAGCGUAUAUUAAAGUUGUUGCAGUUAAGAAGCUCGUAGUUGAAUUUCGGGGUCAGCAAGUUGGUCGUGCCACUGGUAUGUACUGGCUUUGCUGAUUCCUCCUUCUUGUAGAACCGUAAUGCUAUUAAGUUGGUGUUGCGGGAAAACAGGACUGUUACUUUGAAAAAAUUGAGUGUUUAAAGCAGGCUAACGCUUGAAUACAUUAGCAUGGAAUAAUGAAAUAGGACGGCGAUCCUAUUUUGUUGGUUUCUAGGAUUGACGUAAUGAUUAAUAGGGAUAGUUGGGGGCAUUAGUACUCAAUUGUCAGAGGUGAAAUUCUUGGAUUUAUUGAAGACUAACUGCUGCGAAAGCAUUUGCCAAGGAUGUUUUCAUUAAUCAAGAACGAAA